Molecule: non-coding RNA, 229 nt
Organism: Pelobates cultripes (western spadefoot toad)
Lineage: Eukaryota; Metazoa; Chordata; Amphibia; Anura; Pelobatidae
Source: the annotation of a GenBank genome assembly
GAUUCCGUAGCGCUGUACAAAAGGGGCUAGUUAUCCAGGGUUAUUGACUACAUUAACACAUGUGAACAAACUAAAUCUAAAUUGAUAAAAUUAUUACAAUGUAACCAAACGGUAAAUGAAGCUGUCUUGAAGAAUUCUUCCCAAUCAGAUAGCUUGGCUUAAAAUUAAACAUUCUCUUUGAAUUCUUGAUCAUUCACUCUUUAGUAGAUUCUAAAUUGUUAAGUUUUGG